This 492-nucleotide ribosomal RNA is filed under the name uncultured bacterium. Its description in RNAcentral is "partial 16S ribosomal RNA". It matches the Rfam family "Bacterial small subunit ribosomal RNA", at positions 29 to 507 of the family's 1533-position model. The record is from RNAcentral.
AGUGAACGCUGGCGGUAGGCCUAACACAUGCAAGUCGAACGGCAGCACAGUAAGAGCUUGCUCUUACGGGUGGCGAGUGGCGGACGGGUGAGGAAUACAUCGGAAUCUACUUUUUCGUGGGGGAUAACGUAGGGAAACUUACGCUAAUACCGCAUACGACCUACGGGUGAAAGCAGGGGAUCUUCGGACCUUGCGCGAUUGAAUGAGCCGAUGUCGGAUUAGCUAGUUGGCGGGGUAAAGGCCCACCAAGGCGACGAUCCGUAGCUGGUCUGAGAGGAUGGUCAGCCACACUGGAACUGAGACACGGCCCAGACUCCUACGGGAGGCAGCAGUGGGGAAUAUUGGACAAUGGGCGCAAGCCUGAUCCAGCCAUACCGCGUGGGUGAAGAAGGCCUUCGGGUUGUAAAGCCCUUUUGUUGGGAAAGAAAAGCAGCAGGUUAAUACCCCGCUGUUCUGACGGUACCCAAAGAAUAAGCACCGGCUAACUUCGUG